AAGUCGUACGGAGAGUGGGGCAACUCACUCUCAGUGGCAAACGGGUGAGUAACGCGUGAAUAACCUGCCUUUGAGAAGGGGAUAACUGUCCGAAAGGAUAGCUAAUACCCUAUAUUGCCUUUUGUCACUAAGGCAAAAAGUGAAAGCGAGGCUGUCAAAGGCUUCGGCUCAAAGAGGGGUUCGCGUCCUAUCAGGUAGUUGGUGGGGUAAUGGCCUACCAAGCCAAUGACGGGUAGCUGGUCUUAGAGGAUGAUCAGCCACAGUGGGACUGAGACACGGCCCGCACCCCUACGGGGGGCAGCAGUGGGGAAUCGUGGGCAAUGGGCGCAAGCCUGACCCCGCAAUGCCGCGUGAGGGAAGAAGCCCUUCGGGGUGUAAACCUCUGUCAGAUGGGAAGAU
RNAcentral lists this ribosomal RNA (399 nucleotides) under uncultured bacterium. RNAcentral describes it as "bacterial SSU rRNA". It matches the Rfam family "Bacterial small subunit ribosomal RNA", at positions 59 to 449 of the family's 1533-position model. The record is from RNAcentral.